UACGUAGGGUGCAAGCGUUGUCCGGAAUUAUUGGGCGUAAAGAGCUCGUAGGCGGUCUGUCGCGUCUGCUGUGAAAACUCGGGGCUUAACCCCGGGCCUGCAGUGGGUACGGGCAGACUAGAGUGCGGUAGGGGAGACUGGAAUUCCUGGUGUAGCGGUGAAAUGCGCAGAUAUCAGGAGGAACACCGGCGGCGAAGGCGGGUCUCUGGGCCGUAACUGACGCUGAGGAGCGAAAGCAUGGGGAGCGAACAGG
RNAcentral lists this ribosomal RNA (253 nucleotides) under uncultured bacterium. RNAcentral's name for it is "partial 16S ribosomal RNA". It matches the Rfam family "Bacterial small subunit ribosomal RNA", at positions 524 to 776 of the family's 1533-position model. The record is from RNAcentral.